RNAcentral lists this ribosomal RNA (459 nucleotides) under uncultured bacterium. RNAcentral's name for it is "partial 16S ribosomal RNA". It matches the Rfam family "Bacterial small subunit ribosomal RNA", at positions 28 to 523 of the family's 1533-position model. The record is from RNAcentral.
GAUGAACGCUGGCGGCGUGCCUAAUACAUGCAAGUCGAGCGGUAAGGCCUCUUCGGAGGUACACGUGCGGCGGACGGCUGAGUAACGCGUAGGAACGUACCCCAAAGUGAGGGAUAAGCACCAGAAAUGGUGUCUAAUACCACAUGUGGCCCACGGGCUAAAGCUUCGGCGCUUUGGGAACGGCCUGCGUAAGAUUAGCUAGUUGGUGAGGUAAUGGCUCACCAAGGCGACGAUCUUUAGCUGGUCUGAGAGGAUGAUCAGCCAGACUGGGACUGAGACACGGCCCAGACUCCUACGGGAGGCAGCAGUAGGGAAUUUUCCACAAUGGGCGAAAGCCUGAUGGAGCAACGCCGCGUGCAGGAUGAAUGCCUUCGGGUUGUAAACUGCUUUUAUAUGCGACGAAUAUGACGGUAGCAUAUGAAUAAGGAUCGGCUAACUCCGUGCCAGCCGCCGCGGUAA